This is a regulatory RNA element of Kandleria vitulina DSM 20405, 174 nucleotides long. It matches the Rfam family "Lysine riboswitch aptamer". From Rfam's summary of the family: Riboswitches are metabolite binding domains within certain messenger RNAs that serve as precision sensors for their corresponding targets. Allosteric rearrangement of mRNA structure is mediated by ligand binding, and this results in modulation of gene expression. NCBI's taxonomy places the organism in Bacteria, Bacillati, Bacillota, Erysipelotrichia, Erysipelotrichales, Coprobacillaceae. The record is from Rfam.
GUAACAAAUAGAGGUGCAAGGACUAUGAGUUCAAUAUUAUAUGGAUGCAACCAGAUAUUGAAGGAGGAGGAUUGCCGAAGAGAUGAGAAUUUGCAUGUUCUGAUUAUCUGGUAAAAUAGAGAAUAUCUAUUUUAUUGUCACAAGGCUAUAUGCUUGUGGAGGGCUAUUGGUGAA